AACCGAAUUAUGUGGGUCUCCACAUUAUAUUUCACCUGAGUUGAUAAGGUAAAAAAAAAAAAAAACACAUAAAAACGAGUAUAUAAUAUAAGUAAAAAUACAAACGCACAUACAAGCACAUCGCUUAUACAACUUUUAUAACGUCGGACAUUUAUUUUUAUUUUUAUUUUUAUUGUUUUAUAGAAAAAGAUAUACAAUGUCUUCUGAUAUUUGGGCAUUAGGAGUUAUGGUUUUUUUUAUGUUAACUGGGAGAUAUCCAUUUGAGGGGAAAAACACCCCUAAAGUUGUGGAUGAAAUAUUGAAUAAGAACAUAAACUGGAAGGAUAAAGAAUUUUCUUCAUUAUCUGUUGAGGCUGUUGACUUUUUAAAAAGACUUUUAGAAAGAAAUGAGAAAAAAAGAAUGACGGCAUAUCAAGGUAAGUACAUAUAUAUAACCUAGUUUUUGUAGCACCUUAUAGAAAUAAAAAAUAUAUAACAAAUUAUAUAUAUCCA
This 492-nucleotide long non-coding RNA is filed under the name Piliocolobus tephrosceles (Ugandan red Colobus). Its description in RNAcentral is "lncRNA (ENSPTEG00000017787.1)". The record is from RNAcentral. Lineage: Eukaryota; Metazoa; Chordata; Mammalia; Primates; Cercopithecidae.